RNAcentral lists this ribosomal RNA (598 nucleotides) under uncultured bacterium. RNAcentral describes it as "bacterial SSU rRNA". It matches the Rfam family "Bacterial small subunit ribosomal RNA", at positions 25 to 661 of the family's 1533-position model. The record is from RNAcentral.
CAGGAUGAACGCUGGCGGUCUGCUUAACACAUGCAAGUCGAACGAAUCCCUUCGGGGAUUAGUGGCGGACGGGUGAGUAGCGCGUGAGAAUCUGCCUUCAGGUUCGGGACAACCACUGGAAACGGUGGCUAAUACCGAAUGUGCCGCAACGUGAAAGAUUUAUCGCCUGAAGAUGAGCUCGCGUCCGAUUAGCUAGUUGGUGAGGUAAAAGCUCACCAAGGCGACGAUCGGUAGCUGGUCUGAGAGGAUGACCAGCCACACUGGGACUGAGACACGGCCCAGACUCCUACGGGAGGCAGCAGUGGGGAAUUUUCCGCAAUGGGCGCAAGCCUGACGGAGCAAGACCGCGUGAGGGAGGAAGGCCCAAGCGGUUGUAAACCUCUUUUCUCAGGGAAGAAGAAAGUGACGGUACCUGAGGAAUCAGCCUCGGCUAACUCCGUGCCAGCAGCCGCGGUAAUACGGAGGAGGCAAGCGUUAUCCCGGAAUUAUUGGGCGUAAAGCGUCCCGUAGGUGGUUAUGUAAGUCUGCUGUCAAAGCACAGGGCUUAACCCCUGUAAAGGCAGUGGAAACUACAAGACUCGAGUGCGGUAGGGGCAGA